GACAGAGUGUGCAACCGUUGCUCGGAAUUACUGGGCGUAAAGCGCGUGUAGGCGGGUCGGCAAGUCGGGCGUGAAAUCCCCAGGCUCAACCUGGGAACUGCACUCGAAACUUCCGGUCUAGAGUGGUGGAGAGGGAAGUGGAAUUCCUGGUGUAGAGGUGAAAUUCGUAGAUAUCAGGAGGAACACCAGUGGCGAAGGCGGCUUCCUGGACACCAACUGACGCUGAGACGCGAAAGCGUGGGGAGCAAACAGG
Molecule: ribosomal RNA, 253 nt
Filed under: uncultured bacterium
Lineage: Bacteria
Description: partial 16S ribosomal RNA
Rfam family: Bacterial small subunit ribosomal RNA
Source: RNAcentral